UCUACGGGGGGCAGCAGUGGGGAAUAUUGCACAAUGGGCGAAAGCUGAUGCAGCGACGCCGCGUGAGGGAUGACGGCCUUCGGGUUGUAAACCUCUUUCAGCAGGGACGAAGCGCAAGUGACGGUACCUGCAGAAGAAGCACCGGCUAACUACGUGCCAGCAGCCGCGGUAA
This 172-nucleotide ribosomal RNA is filed under the name uncultured Rhodococcus sp. Its description in RNAcentral is "partial 16S ribosomal RNA". It matches the Rfam family "Bacterial small subunit ribosomal RNA", at positions 338 to 523 of the family's 1533-position model. The record is from RNAcentral. Lineage: Bacteria; Bacillati; Actinomycetota; Actinomycetes; Mycobacteriales; Nocardiaceae.